Molecule: non-coding RNA, 890 nt
Organism: Nicotiana tabacum (common tobacco)
Lineage: Eukaryota; Viridiplantae; Streptophyta; Magnoliopsida; Solanales; Solanaceae
Source: RefSeq, a predicted model, not a curated record
ACAAGUAUAAACGGUUAGGUGUGAUACCUGGGAAUAUCUUGUGAAAAAGAUACUAAAGGCGGGUUCCUUAAGAAAAUUAUUCUUUAACUGAUGAUCGAGCAACCAAAACUCAAAUAGAAUGCACUGGUGCUGAAGUGGUUUGCUUAAUUAAGAAAGUUGAGAUUACUUUUAUUGUACUUUUAGGAUGAUUUACUGGGAUGAGCACCAGUAGAGUUAAAUGUUUGCUGCCUUUUUUAGUCAAGAUUUGCUCCUUUAUAACAAAAAAAAAAAUUCAAAUGUAUUCUUGAGAAGACAAUUGACUUUGCUGAUUUUCUUUUUUCACGCAGUAGAAAAGAUCAUGGUUGCAAGAUCAGAUAUUCUUAGGAAUUGUGUGUGUCUCAAUUAAAUACUUGGCCAUUCAACUGAGCUGCAAUGUAUUAGAAAUUCACAGGCAAGAGAGAUGUUCUUCUCAUGAUUUUAAGUAAAGCACAAGCUCUUUCUAAUGUUGUAUGGGGUGCACGGGCCUCAGCAUGCUCUCGGGCCCGUGCAGAGCACGGGAGCCUACAUCUAGUAAUAUAAUAAGUAAAGGUCCUCUUGAACGACGAAGGGCAUUGCCGUAAAUAUAAGCUUCUUUGUGGCUAACCUCUAAACGCGUCUUUCAGCCGUGAAAAAUAAAUACCUGUCUCCCUACAAGUCAUGCUCUUUUACACACUUUAGUUCCCGCACAUUCUUCUCUCUUAUUUCCAAAUUUCUAUCACUGGAUUUUUUCAAAGUUUAUUCAUUUGUAGAAUUCUUGGGAAGGUUGUCCGUUUGUCUAAUUCGUCUCUGGUAUAAGCUCUCAGUUGUGGUAUUCUAGAACAGAGUCCUCUGGAAUGUGUUGUUGUUGUUUCAUGUAUAGUACUUCUUAUCUG